This 247-nucleotide small RNA is filed under the name Sinorhizobium meliloti 2011. Its description in RNAcentral is "putative ncRNA". Lineage: Bacteria; Pseudomonadati; Pseudomonadota; Alphaproteobacteria; Hyphomicrobiales; Rhizobiaceae. The record is from RNAcentral.
AGUAACGCUAACAUAACUGGGACUAAGCGCUGCCUUUGCCUCGGUUCGCAGGCAUGAGAACCGAGUUCAAACUCGGCUAUAGUGAGCUGGACUUCCGAGGGAGGGUCGGCAGGGAUCUUUGUCUUAUCAGGGGAGAUCUCUUGCGAAGAGAUGGCGCCUAGUAUGCGGUGUCUUGUGAUGAGAGUUUGUUUGUCACAGGCAUUGCCGGAUGCCGUACCAUUCGGUUCGGGAUGAGUGGCAUAGGUAU